Dalotia coriaria is the source of this 471-nucleotide long non-coding RNA. RefSeq lists it as uncharacterized. The record is from RefSeq and is a predicted model, not a curated record. The transcript is spliced from 3 exons. NCBI's taxonomy places the organism in Eukaryota, Metazoa, Arthropoda, Insecta, Coleoptera, Staphylinidae.
ACGUUUCAGUCUGCUCUUAUAUUCACGCUGCGUGGUACCGUUCUUUCAAUAUUUUGGAUUAAAUUAAUUGUAUUACAUUUUAUCAAUUAAUAUCGGCCUUUAAUGACAAUAGACGUGUCCAGUGUUUUGCUAAAGAUGAGUUCCGCGUGUAAUGAUUAUAAACUCGUGUGUUUAUCUCUGUAUUUCUGUUUCGACGGCUAUUGGAUUACUUAGAUGCUGAGGAUUGGAAUUGGAAAUAUGUGUUCUGUUGAUAAUUUCGAUAUUUACUCACAUUUGAUUUGCGGUGUUCGAUACACUGUACUUGCCGUAUUCUUGCAAUCCGAGGAGCGCUGCAUUGGUAAGUUUAUAAUUAAGUUAUAUUAUUCAGUUAAAUGUUUUAUCACAUUUUACCUGCGUAUUGCAAUAUCCCACAAAUUAGGGGGGUCGUAUAAAUUUUACAUAAUGGUAAUAUGGAAAACGGAUCAUAGUGCG